RNAcentral lists this long non-coding RNA (364 nucleotides) under Salmo salar (Atlantic salmon). RNAcentral's name for it is "lncRNA (ENSSSAG00000086934.1)". Lineage: Eukaryota; Metazoa; Chordata; Actinopteri; Salmoniformes; Salmonidae. The record is from RNAcentral.
CUAAGUGAAAGUAUAAUGUUCUGUGUUCUCGGAAAUGUUUCCUCUGCACGUUAGCGUUUUUGGUAGCUACGUGAUGAGUUACAUCUGUCCUUGUGCGAGGAGACAUGUAAACAACGCUAGGCCUGGAAUAGAUCUGCUGAAGACAUAGAAUGUGAUUGGAAUGGAAACUGGGAGACUGAGUCCCUGACUGGGCAGGAGGAAAUACCAAACGAAUCGUUCCUGUCUCGAAUGAUGCAGGCAGAGGAUAGGAAGAAAACAAAACUCAGUGUGAGUUCCAGCAAAGGCGUGGUGGAGGAAUAUUGUCUAAGAGAGCGACCAAAAGAGGACACAGCAAAAAUGAAGAACAAAGUGACCAGCACACAAG